This 162-nucleotide unclassified non-coding RNA is filed under the name rhizosphere metagenome. RNAcentral's name for it is "partial ribosomal RNA internal transcribed spacer region". The record is from RNAcentral.
AAUGCUCUCUGGCUUCGGUCAGUUGAGUUCAAUGAGUGCCUUCUCUUCGGAGUUGGCCAUCCACACACACCGUGAACUGUGGCUUCGGCCAUCACAAACUGUUAGUAAUGAAUGUAAUAUCAUAACAAAAACAAAACUUUUAACAACGGAUCUCUUGGCUCU